RNAcentral lists this ribosomal RNA (79 nucleotides) under Salmonella enterica. RNAcentral describes it as "partial 23S ribosomal RNA". Lineage: Bacteria; Pseudomonadati; Pseudomonadota; Gammaproteobacteria; Enterobacterales; Enterobacteriaceae. The record is from RNAcentral.
GGGUUGUGAGGUUAAGCGACCAAGCGUACACGGUGGAUGCCCUGGCAGUCAGAGGCGAUGAAGGACGUGCUAAUCUGCG